This 740-nucleotide long non-coding RNA is filed under the name Cyanistes caeruleus (blue tit). RNAcentral describes it as "lncRNA (ENSCCEG00000021700.1)". The record is from RNAcentral. Lineage: Eukaryota; Metazoa; Chordata; Aves; Passeriformes; Paridae.
CUGGGCUUUAGCCUCUCUGUGCCUCAGGUCCCUGUCUGGGAAAAGAAGAUAAAUUGACUUCCCUGCUUCACAGUAAUACUGGAAGACAAAUUCAUCUGAGACUGUUAGGUACUACUGUGAGGUUUCUGAUUGCCCUAGUUCAAGCUGCUUAUUGGACACAAUCGGAGAUCUAAGGACUGCAGAAAGAAUCCUCUGAAGUGGAAGAAGGUAAGACUUUGUGAGGUCACAAGGAUAAGGGAGUAAGAAUUUUCAUUCUACCACCUCUGACUUAUAUAAAUGUUUGUAGCAAGUCUGUCUAUUCAGCUAUUGCAAUCUUAUUUUGUGAUACAUAUUACCUUGAAGGCAGUUUGAAUUAAGAGUUAUUUCAAGAUAACUGAAUAGGAGAAAAGCAUUUCUCUCCUGGCAGUGUGAUAGCAGGAAAAAACAUGUCACACACUACUUAAAGAAAUACUGCUGGCCUUAGAAUUGAGAGAUGGAAAUACCAUUGAUGUCAAAAUGGAGUAGUUCUGUGAGUGAACAGAAAUAUUUUCAGAUACCAAAAUAAAACCUAUUGAGCAAAAAGCUUUCCCGAAGUGAAAGAAGCAAAGAAAUAGCUGAAGGUAUUAGCAGUGAAGAAAGAAGUAGAGCAAACAAAGGAGACAGAAAUCAUUUUCUUCAGCAGCCUGCAGAUAAGGAAAAUACGUCCUUCUUCUGCUGGAAUCUUCCUAGAUCAUUAUAAUAAACUAAUUAAUCUAAGAUGG